Molecule: ribosomal RNA, 274 nt
Filed under: uncultured bacterium
Lineage: Bacteria
Description: partial 16S ribosomal RNA
Rfam family: Bacterial small subunit ribosomal RNA
Source: RNAcentral
AUACGAAGGGAGCUAGCGUUGUUCGGAAUUACUGGGCGUAAAGCGCGCGUAGGCCGAUUGGUCAGUUAGGGGUGAAAUCCCAGGGCUUAACCCUGGAACUGCCUCUAAUACUGCCAGUCUUGAGUUCGGGAGAGGUGAGUGGAAUUCCUAGUGUAGAGGUGAAAUUCGUAGAUAUUAGGAAGAACACCAGUGGCGAAGGCGGCUCACUGGCCCGAUACUGACGCUGAGGCGCGAAAGCGUGGGGAGCAAACAGGAUUAGAUACCCUUGUAGUCC